CCACCUCUAAAUUACUGUCUCUAGUGAAAUUCUAGUAGAAGACAGUGGGAGCCAACUUAAAAUUAACAGGGGGGAAAAAAUCAAACACCGAAAUAGUUAAUUUCUGUUUUGUUCAAUUGCACUGGUGUUUGACUCCGUUGAUUACAGCUCUUCUUCUGCCUGUGUGUGGGUUGGGUCCAGUGGGCUGGAAGGGAUUCGACAACCAGGUUCAGAGCCUGCCGUUGGGGACCGAUGCCACCCAGGCGCUGGUGCCGUGCCAUGGCGUUGUUCCUUGGUCAGCCCCUGUCUAACCUGUUGUCAUCAACCACAUGAAUGACGAUGGCCCUAGAUGGAUGACACGCGAGGUAAUACAUUGUGAGAAUCAGGAAGGCGCUAGAGAUUUACAGCAUGGGCUCAUCUCGCCUCACCCGGGUCCUCGAUUUCACUGUCUACUAUGUAUCUUUGGAGACAAGUUGCUUACAGUGCUUGAGCCUCAGUUUCUCAGCAGCAGCAGGUCCGGAUCCCUCCAGGCCACAAGUACCCGUCCAAGCGGGACACAAUCUCAAGUGUGCCCCGGUCCCCACCGCUCCCUAGUGCCCACCAGCCCCUUGAACACCUGUUUGCAACCUCUGACCUUGAAGGUCCUUCAAGUCUCCAGCCAACCUGCGAUUUCCAGAAUCCCCGUAAUCUAAAGUGGGAACACACGGAACUGGGAAGUCUCAAGUGCAAGCUCACGUUAGCAUUCCCAAGCCCCGGGCCAGGCACAGCCAGCCAACCGUCAUGUGGAAACUACAUGGAUUUAAAGGAGAGCCGCCUUAACUUCGUCAAGGUGCCACAGGAUGCAUUUUAAAUACCUGGGAUUCGGGGCGCCUGGGUGGCUCAGUCAGUUGAGCGUCC
This is a long non-coding RNA of Hyaena hyaena (striped hyena), 876 nucleotides long. RefSeq lists it as uncharacterized. The transcript is spliced from 4 exons. Lineage: Eukaryota; Metazoa; Chordata; Mammalia; Carnivora; Hyaenidae. The record is from RefSeq and is a predicted model, not a curated record.